RNAcentral lists this ribosomal RNA (315 nucleotides) under uncultured bacterium. RNAcentral describes it as "bacterial SSU rRNA". It matches the Rfam family "Bacterial small subunit ribosomal RNA", at positions 28 to 334 of the family's 1533-position model. The record is from RNAcentral.
GAUAAACGCUGGCGGCGCACAUAAGACAUGCAAGUCGAACGGACUUAACUCAUUCUUUUAGAUUGAGAGCGGUUAGUGGCGGACUGGUGAGUAACACGUGAGUAAUCUGCCUUCCAGAGGGGAAUAACGUUUGGAAACGAACGCUAAUACCGCAUAACGUGCGGUCCUCGCAUGGGGACUGUACCAAAGAUUUUAUCGCUGGAAGAUGAGCUCGCGGCCGAUUAGGUAGUUGGUGAGAUAACAGCCCACCAAGCCGACGAUCGGUAGCCGGACUGAGAGGUUGAUCGGCCACAUUGGGACUGAGACACGGCCCAG